RNAcentral lists this ribosomal RNA (3080 nucleotides) under SAR202 cluster bacterium. Its description in RNAcentral is "bacterial LSU rRNA". It matches the Rfam family "Bacterial large subunit ribosomal RNA", at positions 1 to 2475 of the family's 2925-position model. The record is from RNAcentral. Lineage: Bacteria; Bacillati; Chloroflexota; Dehalococcoidia.
GGUCAAGUUAUUAAGGGCUUACGGUGGAUGCCUUGGGACCAAGGGCCGAUGAAGGGCGCGGCAAGGCUGCGUUAAGCCUCGAUGAGCCGUCUAGCAGGCAUAGUCGGGGAUACCCGAAUGGGGUAACCUAAUCCGGUGUUGAGUCGGAUUAUCCCGGUUUUGUAUCGGGAAGGUAAGCGGGGGAACUGAAACAUCUAAGUACCCCGAGGAAAAGAAAUCAACCGAGAUUCCCCUAGUAGUGGCGAACGAACGGGGAAUAGCCUAAACCAGUACGACUUAGUGGAGUGAGGUCCUAUGUCGUAUCGGGGUUGUAGGGCGCGUUUUAGGUCGCCUCGCCAGACCUGAAGGAGUUACAAAUCUUGUCUCUAGUCGAAGGCACCUGGGAAGGACCGUCAUAGAGGGUGAAAGCCCCGUAGACGAAAGGGACAAGACUCCUAGCGCAUACCCUGAGUACCACGGGGCACGGGAAACCUUGUGGGAAUCUGGGGGGACCACCCUCCAAGGCUAAAUACCCUUGGUCACCGAUAGCGUACCAGUACCGUGAGGGAAAGGUGAAAAGAACCCCUAGCGGGGAGUGAAAUAGAUCUGAAACCGUAAGCCUACAGAAGGUCGUAGCCUCUUCUUUUAUUAGAAGGGGUGGCGGCGUGCCUAUUGAAGAAUGAUCCAGGGACUUAAUGUGUGGAGCGAGGUUAAGGAACUGUAGUUCCGGAGCCGUAGCGAAAGCGAGUCUGAAUAGGGCGCUUAGUUCCAUAUAUUAGACUCGAAACCGGGUGAGCUACCCAUGGCCAGGUUGAAGGUUCGUUAACGCGAACUGGAGGACCGAACCCGUGGCUGGUACAAAAGCUUGGGAUGAGCUGUGGGUAGAGGUGAAAUGCCAAUCGAACUCGGAAAUAGCUAGUUCUCCCCGAAAUGCAUUUAGGUGCAGCCUCGGGAACUAGGUGGACGGAGGUAGGGCACUGAAUGGGCUAGGGGGCGUGAGCUUACCAAACCCAAUCAAACCACCAAUGCCGUCUAUCCGAUACCCGGGAGUGAGACUGCCACAGAUAAGUGCGGUAGUCGAAAGGGAAACAGCCCAGAUCACCGGCUAAGGCCCCCAAGUGCAAGCUAAGUGGCAAAGGAAGUGAGAUUCCCCAGACAACCAGGAGGUUGGCUUAGAAGCAGCCAUCCUUUAAAGAGUGCGUAACAGCCCACUGGUCGAGGGGUUUCGCGCCGAAAAUGUAACGGGGCUCAAGCUUGCCGCCGAAGCCGUGAAUGUUCAGGUACAGAGGCUAAAAUCUUGCUCCCAAUGGUGGAUCUACCGGGAAUCCAAUGAUCGGGAAACUCCGACUUCGGUUGGAGCGGAACGGCCAAAGGGCUCCCGGCGGUGAAUCYGGCGGGAAAAGGGUCAGAUCCUCUGAAUCAUGCCUGGGUAUGGUAGGGGAGCGUUCCUCGGGCGAUGAAGGUCAAUCGUGAGGCUGACUGGAGCGCGGGGAAGUGAGAAUCCUGGAAUGAGUAACGUAAACUAGGGUGAAAAUCCCUGGCGCCGAAAGCCCAAGGUUUCCUACGCAACGUUUAUCGGCGUAGGGUUAGUCGGUCCUAAGCCGUAGGCAAGAGCCGAAGGCGAUGGACAGCAGGUUAAUAUUCCUGCACCGCCGUUGUUUCGCUUUAAAACUAAGGAGGGGUGCGGAAGGGUAGGUAGGGCAUGCCUAUUGGACAUGGUGUGUUCUUCUCCGUAGGCCAAGAUGGGGCAGGCAAAUCCACUCCAUCGUUACGAGCCGAGAGAGGAGGGAAUCGAUCUUUCGAGAUACGAAACUCUGCUGAUCCCAAACCGACGAGAAAAGCUUCGUAGUUAUGGAGCAGGGGCGACCGUACCGCAAACCGCCACUGGUGGGCAAGGAUAAAAGUCCUAAGGCGUUCGAGCUAACCUCCGUUAAGGAACUAGACAAAAGAGCCCUGUAACUUUGGGAGAAAGGGCCCCCCGGKRGGUGAARCCACUWGCUGGUGRAGCGYUCUGGGGGCGCAGAGAAGAAGGCCGGGCGACUGUUUAACAAAAACACAGGUCUGUGCUAAGGGGAAACCCUACGUAUACAGGCUGACGCCUGCCCAGUGCCGGAAGGUUAAGGGGAGCGGUGAGAGCUGCGAACUGAAGCCCCGGUGAACGGCGGCCGUAACUCUAACGGUCAACCGGUUAGUCCAACCAGGCCCCGGCGCAAGCCUCGGCCUCAAAGGCUGACCAAGGCCGUUAUAAAAUCUGGCUAUAUGCUGGAAACUCCGAGUAUCCGGCGCUACCAAGUCAUCCUAAUCUGGGUUGAUCGGUAAUAAUGCGUCCGGUGCGGACAAUCAGCAGGAAAGGCCUCGGAGAAGAAACGCUAACCCAUGUCCAUGGGGAAGCGCGGACCUCCCUGGAAUCCUCAGAGACCAUACGCCAGACCCCUGUCGGAACGUGGGGAAGAUAUGGUCCGAUCUGUAUGGCGACAUGCAGAGGCCGGCAGAAAUGUCCGGCCCCGUCUAACUACCCCAUCCUAACCUCCCCCUUUAACAAGGGAUGGGACCAAUGGAGAAGUUUGAUGAGUAACAAAAUGCCUAAGGUAGCGAAGUCCCUUGUCGGGUAAGUUCCGACCCGCAUGAAUGGUUGAACGACUUGGCCAUUGUCUCGACGGAGGGCUCGGUGAAAUUGCGGUGCCCGUGAAGACGCGGGCGACCCGCGGCAGGACAAAAAGACCCCGUGGAGCUUUACUGUAGCCUGGUAUUGGGCUGGGAGCUGUCAUGUGUAGGAUAGGUGGGAGGCUAUGAAACCCCGACGCUAGUUGGGGUGGAGCCGCCGUUGAAAUACCACCCUUGGCUGUUUUUGGUUCUAACCUCAGCAAAACUGGGGGACAGUGCCUGGUGGGCAGUUUAACUGGGGCGGUUGCCUCCUAAAAUGUAACGGAGGCGCCCAAAGGUCCCCUCAGGACGGAUGGAAAUCGUCCUAAGAACGCAUUGGCAUAAGGGGGCUUGACUGUAAGACCUACAAGUCGAGCAGGGACGAAAGUCGGGCAAAGUGAUCCUACGGCACCGUGUGGAAGGGCCGUGGCUUAUCGGAUAAAAGCUACCCCGGGGAU